AGAGUUUGAUCCUGGCUCAGGACGAACGCUGACGGUGUGCUUUAGACAUGCAAGUCGAACGAGAAAGCCCUUCGGGGUGAGUAAAGUGGCGAACGGGUGAGUAACACGUGGGCAAUCUGCCCCUCGCAGGGGGACAACCGGGGGAAACCCCGGCUAAUACCCCGUAAGCUCGAAAGGCCGCAUGGCCCUUUGAGGAAAGGUAGCUUCGGCCAUCCGGCGAGGGAUGAGCCCGCGGUGCAUUAGCUUGUUGGUGGGGUAACGGCCCACCAAGGCGACGAUGCAUAGCUGGUCUGAGAGGAUGAUCAGCCACACUGGGACUGAGACACGGCCCAGACUCCUACGGGAGGCAGCAGUCGGGAAUCUCGCGCAAUGGGCGAAAGCCUGAUGGAGCGACGCCGCGUGCGGGACGAAGCCUUUCGGGGUGUAAACCGCUUUUAGAAGGGAUGACACUCCCCUAUGGGGAUACGACAGUACCUUCUGAAUAAGCAUCGGCUAACUACGUGCCAGCAGCCGCGGUAAUACGUAGGAUGCAAGCGUUGUCCGGAUUUACUGGGCGUAAAGCGCGCGCAGGCGGCAGGUUAAGUAAGGUGUGAAAUCUCCCUGCUCAACGGGGAGGGUGCACUUUAGACUGACCAGCUAGAGGGCGGUAGAGGGUGGUGGAAUUGCUGGUGUAGCGGUGAAAUGCGUAGAGAUCAGCAGGAACACCCGUGGCGAAGGCGGCCACCUGGGCCGUACCUGACGCUGAGGCGCGAAGGCUAGGGGAGCGAACGGGAUUAGAUACCCCCGUAGUCC
This 792-nucleotide ribosomal RNA is filed under the name uncultured Rubrobacter sp. RNAcentral's name for it is "bacterial SSU rRNA". It matches the Rfam family "Bacterial small subunit ribosomal RNA", at positions 8 to 796 of the family's 1533-position model. Lineage: Bacteria; Bacillati; Actinomycetota; Rubrobacteria; Rubrobacterales; Rubrobacteraceae. The record is from RNAcentral.